Molecule: ribosomal RNA, 596 nt
Filed under: Digenea sp. virgulate xiphidiocercaria 3 DB-2022
Lineage: Eukaryota; Metazoa; Platyhelminthes; Trematoda
Description: partial large subunit ribosomal RNA
Source: RNAcentral
AAAGUUGAAAAGUACUUUGAAGAGAGAGUAAACAGUGCGUGAAACCGGUCAGAGGUAAACGGGUGGAGUUGAACUGCAAGCUCUGAGAAUUCAACUGAUGAGUGUGUCUUGAGCUUGAGAUGUUGGGCCCCGGAGUCUGCGUAGCAGCAGGCCUUCACCCUUCGGGGUGAGGGUGCGCGGUGCACUUAUCAAGUGUUGCGCGCUCUGGGAGUUCAUCAAACCACUUGUCAGUGCACUUUUUCAGAGUAGUCACCACGACCGGCACCGCUGUCUGGCUGUUAUGGUUAAACCGUUCUAGUAUUGUCCACGUGACUCUGCUUGAUCGGGAUGGCAGGUAACUCAUGACUUGCUUCCAGUUAGGUCAUUGAGUGUAAUCAGCUGACCAUAUCAGUUCUGUACAGUGUGUCGGAGACGGCGGCUUUUGUGUGUGCUUGCGUGCCUGUCUGGCUGACGUAUUCGAGUUUGGUUAUCAAGUUGUCUGUUUACACAGUCCUGGCAAUGACUCGAGUUCGUUCGGUUGGCGGUUGCGUAGGUGACACAGCUCAUGGGCCAAUAGUCUGUGGUGUAGUGGUAGACUAUCCACCUGACCCGUCUUG